Molecule: small nucleolar RNA, 213 nt
Organism: Zalophus californianus (California sea lion)
Lineage: Eukaryota; Metazoa; Chordata; Mammalia; Carnivora; Otariidae
Gene: U3
Rfam family: Small nucleolar RNA U3
About the family: Small nucleolar RNAs (snoRNAs) are involved in the processing and modification of rRNA in the nucleolus. There are two main classes of snoRNAs: the box C/D class, and the box H/ACA class. U3 snoRNA is a member of the box C/D class.
Source: Ensembl
AAGACUAUACUUUCAGGGAUCAUUUCUAUAGUUCGUUACUAGAGAAGUUUCUCUGAACGUGUAGGGUACCCGAAACCACGAGGAGGAUUUGUAGUGUUCUCUUCUGAGCGUGAAGUCGGAUUUCGGUGUUGCUUUUGUAACUGCCGGUUUCCAUUGAUGAUCGUUCUACUCCUCUUUGGGGGAGUUAGAGGGAGAGAACGCAGUCUGAGUGGU